GACAGCGCGUAAAAAACUUUUUGACGUUGCGGCUGCAUCUUGUGUUUUUGUCCAUUUUUAAUCGUUUCAGUCACCUUCCCCGGAUAAAUUGUAGACUUUUUUGCUCCUUUAUACACCUAAUCAUUUAAUGAAAUUUUUAAGAUGGAGAUCAAAAGUGACUUGGAUUUGAGUGGUAAAUUAAUAAUUAAGGUACAACUAGGAGAUGAUAUUAGGCGAAUUCCAAUCCACAACGAAUCUUUAACUUACGAUGAACUGGUUUUAAUGAUGCAGAGGGUAUUUAGAGGCAAAUUAUCAGCGAAUGAUGACAUCACAAUUAAAUACAAAGAUGAAGAUGGUGAUCUUAUAACGAUAUUCGAAAGUAACGAUUUAUCUUUCGCUAUACAAUGCAGUCGAAUUUUGAAAUUACAAAUUUUAUUAAAUUCCGAUCUGAAAAACGAUUCUGCUAGUGCUUUAUCAUCGACUGAAGUAACUAAUCUGAAAAAACAACUAAGAAAUAUAAGGGAUCAAGUGAAUACCUUACUGGAUACGAUAGAUGUACAUGAAAAUAAGACACUUAACAGUGGUCUUCAAGAAACUGGAGAUACAUCAAACUUAGAUCUGAAUCAAUCUAGUUCUUCUUUAAAUAAGGUCAACUCGAGCGAGUUUGAUCCAUUGCAAGAUAAAGGCCAGAAGAACGGCACCGAAGACGCAAAAGACUCUUCCAAGCCAUCCACUCCACAGAUUAACAAUGAAGGUAAUUUAACUAAACAAAAAUCGAAUCGCGCUGGUAGUAGACCGCAGUCAGUAUCUAUGGCGACCACUCCUGGUCAACAGUCCGUGGUGACAUCGGCAGCUAAUCCUCAUGGUAUAACGGACUAUUUUGGUCGUUCAUCUAGUGCUACUAACUUCCCAGGAAUGCAGUACAGUUCAUUACCCUAUCCUCAACAGUAUAACUUCCAAUCAACAGGACGUUACGUCCCCCAAGUGAUGGAUAGCUCCCAAGUUCCGAGUUCCAACGCUUACUCGAACCCACCGCAAGGAAGCCUUUCCUAUCCACAGCAGCAACAGUACGGACACCCACCAGUAGUGUACCCCGCUUCAGCCCAAGGCAACCCCUACUCGAAGGGAUUCACCCAGCCCUCGCCGCAGCACGGUUUCAUGCCACCACGUCAAUAGACGACUAACUAUUUCUAUUGAGACUAUUUUAGACCAGUCUGUGAAAAGACUCGAACGUGAGUAAGUUCCGUCUAGCAAUUGAUAAUUUUUGUUUGGAUCGAGUCGUUUUUGACUAAGGGAAAUCAAAUUUGGAGGUUACGUUUUAAGUUUAUUUGGAGCUUAAGUUAUUUUAUAGACCAUUCCAGAGCGACCUCAUUUGACAGCGUAUGAGGGGCAAACAUUCGUAAACAAAGUACGUUUAGUGCAGAAAACCAUUGUUUACUUUAAGAAUGUCAUUAAAAUGCCGGCGUUUUGUUCAGUUCCAACAGUGUUCCAGUAGAGGUGAAAGAGAUACGGUGAUGUUUUUUAAAAUACCUGCCGCAUUUAAAGAUCGCGGUGAUGUUUAAAUGUACUUUCAAAAGAACGAUGAGAGUUGUGGGUCAAAGCUUUAAAAAGGGGCCCUUUAUCCGAACGUUUCUUGAAGAAUGCGAGAAUAUGUUUCAGGCAUUUUAUAAAAGGUAAGGUACUAGAUAAACUUAAAAAAGAUUUUCAUUCUGAAUAUAUGGAGUUUUACAUUCCCUGUGAGGGUGUUACAAUAUCCAAUAUUUGACAUUUUUGCAGUAAUCACAGAUUUUUAAUAAUAAAACGAGAAAAAAUCAAAUAGAACACUGAAAACUUAAAAGCAAUGUUUGCUUGCCCCUCGGCGAUGCUGUCGAAAGUCUCGUGACCUGGAAUGGCCAAUUGUUUUCGAUAAGUCUAUUUCAUUUUAAUGAUAUAGGUAGAUUAGUGAAUGGAUUGGGAAGAUUUCGGGGAUGAUUUUUUAAUGAAAAAUAUUUGGAAAGAUGUUUGCCUUCUAGCAUGAUCUCCAUCUGUAGAUCUGUCUCAUUUGAUCAACAGCAAAACCAUCUUGAUGGUAUAUAAGUAUUUUUUACGAUGAUUUGGGAACUGGGAUAGGAAACCCAGCUGCAUUCCAGUGUUGCCGGAUAGACCAAAAAACCAAUGUAUAUUUGAAUCCUGGUGUCCAAAGAACCAUUAAAACUUCAAAAUUUUGUGAACUGACUAAUUUAUUAUUAACAAAUCAUUCUACAAAUUUCCUAAUCUAUUUUACCAAAACUUGAUAUAAAGUGUACAUGUUAACAUCUAUUUUUGGAAAGAUUUAGGAGUACUAAUGAGUUGACAAAGAGAAAUCUAUUCAAACUUAAAACGGGAUACUACCCGAAGGUUGGCUGUAUACCAUCUAGUUAAAUAAAAUUAACAUGAAGUAAAACUCCCUAGUGUAGUUGGUAUAUUUAAUAAAAAUUUAAAAAAAAAUCCAAAACGAUUACGUUCAUAACGUUUUCGGACUUAUCAGUCCAUCAUCAGUGAAACUAAAAGUAAGUACUAAUCUCACUUAAUAAAAUUGAAAAGGGUGAAAUUUUGAAUGUUAGAAAUUGAAAAGUGUGGUUAAGAUUACUUACUUUCUUCUGUCCUUACUAAAUAGCUACAAUGUCAAACACUGGUUAAAAUCUGGUUAACACUGGUUAAGAACAUACAUCUUAACCAGUGUUUGGCAUUGUGGGUAUUUAGCAAGGACAGAGAGUAAGUAAUCUUAACCACACUUUUCAAUUUUUAACAUUCAAAAUUUCACCCUUUUCAAUUUUAUUAAGUGAGAUUACUUACUUACUAAAGUAAAAGUAGAUGAAGAACUAACUGACCCAAUUGAAGCUGGCAGUGGGAUAAGACAGGGAGAUUCCCUGAGUCCUCUGUUGUUCAACCUGAUCAUGGACGAAAUAAUAAAAAAGUAAGAACAAAAAAGGAUACCAAAUGGGAGAAAAACAACUUAAAAUAAUCUGCUAUACAGACGACGCAAUACUAAUCUCUCAAAUUGAAGAUGAUUUACAACAUAUGCUGCACGAAUUUAAUAUAACCGCUAGAAAAUUUAACAUGUUAAUUUCAUCAAAAAAAGACUAAAUGCAUGGUUAUAACAGCAGAUCUGAUAAGGUGUAAAUUAGAGCUGGAGGGUCAAAUAAUAGAACAAGUCGUGGAGUUUAAAUAUCUAGGCAUCACACUAUGCAGCUACGGAAAGCUCGAAACAGAAGUGGAAGAUCAGGUGAAUAAAGCAAACAGAGCCGCAGGUUGCCUGAAUGAAACAAUAUGGAGAAAUAAAAACAUCGGAAAAGAAGUGAAAGGCAGAAUUUACAAAACAGUCAUCAGACCAAUUAUGACAUACGCGGCAGAAACAUGACCUGAUACAGAAAGGACAAAAAGAAUGCUAGAAGCAGCACAGAUGAAAACAUUGCGAAAAAUCGAUGGUAAGAUGCUGUGGGAUAGAGCUAGAAGUGCAGACUUUGCAAGGUGGACAACAUUAAUAACUGGGUGAAAAGCAGAAGAGUAGAAUGGAACGACCACAUAAGCCGAAUGACAGCAAAUAGAGUAGUAAGGACGGCGAGAGACGGCUCCCCAAUAGGAAGACGAUCAGUGGGAAGACCACGAAAAAGAUGGAAUGACAACUUACUGGAGGCACAUUGAAAAACAGACAGAGUAAUGUCUAUAUAAAAAGAAGAAGAAGAGAUUACUUUUAGGUUAACUGAUGAUGGACUGAUAAGUCCGAAAACGUUAUGAACGUAAUCCUUUUGGAUUUAAAAAAAAAUUUAAUUUUUAUUAAAUAUACCAACUACACUAGGGAGUUUUACUUCAUGUUAAUUUUAUAGAAAUCUAUUCCGUAAUUAAUUUGGAUCCUAGUACAUUCUGACUUAACCUGUAUAUAAAUGUAUUGAGUUAAAAGAUCUUAGGCUCGAUGCACAUUUGCGUAUUUUCAAGUUGCGUGCACGCUGCUUGUUUUCAAGCCAAGUUUCCCGUCAACACACAUUUGAGUGGUUUCUCGGGGUCAAUACACGCCAGAAAUAAACAACUGUGCAUCUACGUUGAAAUCGAUCGCGCGGUCAACGUGUACUCACUGAUUGCCCAACAUAGACUUCCAAACCGCCUGACUUGUAGUGAUGUUGAUUUUAAUUACUUUCGAGUAUUCGUUACAAAUCGUUACUUUUCAAUAAAGUAAUCAUUUACAUUACAAUAUUCGUUACUUUGAUUACUAUGAUUACUUUUGUAUUUGAGUACCGGUGAUCAUAAUAUGAGGUAAUCAUGAUAUUAUCGAAAAUCGUAUUUCUCAGUAGGUAGGUAUUGUGUAUAGGUACAUAUUCCGAUAUAACAAAUAAUUAUUUACAGUAUUCGUUACUUUGACUACUAUGAUUACUUUUGUAUUUGAGUACCGGUAAUCAUAUCGAAAAUCGUAUUUCUCAAUAGGUAGGUAUUUUGUAUGUCCCCCCUAAAUGCCCUGGUCUAAUUCUAAUAAAACCAAUGCAAUACAUACAAAAUUAAAGUUGUUGAUCAUACUGUAGAAACAUUAUUAUUUCCACAUUUUUCCGGUCAGUCUAAAAAGUAAUCAAGUGUACUGGUUGUAGAUACAAUAGUCGUUACUCGCUCUGAUACGACUGGUAUGAAGUAACGAAGUAAUCAGAGUAAUCAAAGUAGAUACAAUAGUCGUUACUCGCUCUGAUACGAUUGGUACGAAGUAACGAAGUAAUCAGAGUAAUCAAAGUAGAUACAAUAGUCGUUACUCACUCUAAUACCAUUGGUACGAAGUAACGAAGUAAUCAGAGUAAUCAAAGUAAACAAAGUAGAUACGAUAGUCGUUACUCGCUCUGAUACGAGUAAUCAAAGUAGAUACAAUAGUCGUUAGAAGUAACGAAGUAAUCAGAGUAAUCAAAGUAACGAUUUGUCUCUCUUUAUAGUAAUCGUUACUUUCGGUAUUCGUAAGUAACGAUUACUUUGUAACGAAUAGUUACUUUUUCAACAUCACUACUGACUUGUUUUCAAGCCGCGUGCAUGUGGCGGCGUAGCAGAAACUGGCGUGCUGUCGGUCCACGCGGCUUGCAAGUCACUUGCACCCCGCGGCUCAGCUCGAGUGUGCAGUGAAUGAAUUCAACUUAUGUACUGCUGAACCGCAAGCGAUCGCACGUGGCUUGCUCGCAGCUUGAAAACACGCAAAGGUGUAUCGAGCCUUAUUAACCUAGGUAUUAAAAGAAUUAUUUAGUUUAAGAAGAAAGUCUGAAAUUAUGAUGAAAUCGACGGAUUUGUAACUGAUGUUACUCGACUGGAUUUGUGGUAGGAUAUUUAGGUAAUUUUUUAUUGAAAGACUUUUAUUUAUAUAAAGUUAUAUUAAAUCAUGAUAUACUUAACGUAGUUAUAGUAGAAUAGUCUUGGAGAAGCUAGGACAACUAAUCCCCGGACAAAUAUUCCCGGACAAAAAAUCCCCACAAAUUAUCCCCGGACAAAAAAUCCCCAUAAAUAAUCCCUACAAAUAAUCACCGGACAAGAAAUCCCCACAAAAUAUCCCGGACAAAUAAUCCCCACAAAUUUUUUUGGACAAAAUAUCCCCAAGAAAUAUUUGCUGCCGAAUAUUUCUCUAAAAGAUUUUCCGUGAAUGCAAUGAACGCAAACGUUUUUCAACCUCAGUGCAUGAGAGUUAUAGCAAUCACCAUAAAACCUGUUUUGGGCACGAAAAUAAUAUUUAUUUUUUAUUUAUUAAGGGCAACAGACCUUGUAGGCCUAAGGCUAAAAUGUUUACAUUUCUGAUUACAUAAAUAAUAUAAUAAAUAACUUAAUAUAACUUACAUAACUUAUAAAACUUAUAAAUUUUAUUUAAUUACACUUCAGUUUUUUUAUACACUCCUUCACCACCUCUCUCCAUCUCCUUCUGUCCAAUGCUAGUUCUUUCCAUCUCUCAAUGUUACUUUUCUUCAAGUCUUCAUACACACUGUCCUUCCAUCUUUUCCUUGACCUGCCUUUCCUCCUCUUUUGUAUUGGUCUUCGUGAGAGUACCAUUUUUGGCAUUCGUUUACUUCCCAUUCUCUCGAUGUGCCCCAAGUAUCGUGUUCUCUGUGCUUUGAUCGUCGUCGUGAUCGUUAGCUGUUGAUAUAGUUCUUCCAAUUCUUUAUUGGUUCUUCUUCUCCACUGACCUAUUUUCACACCUCCAUAUAUAUAUAUUGCUCUUUGCAUUUUUCUCUCCCAUCUUUCUAAAAGGUCUGUUUCUGACUUUUUGACUUCUGACUUCCAAUAAAUCACCAUAAAACCUGUUUUGGGCACGAAAAUAAUGAUUAACAAAUACAAUUAAGCAUGCAUUUUAAUUUCCAUUACCAAAUUUCGAAUUGCAAUUGUUGAGUUUUUUGGCUGUGGGAAUCAUAUUGUAAUUAUUCGCUUAAAUCUUUUGCUCACCUUGCUUUGAACAACUCUGUUUAAAACAUUGCCUAUUCAUAAUGAUAACUGCUGGUCCUGAAAACGAUAGUCUUGAUUCUAAUGCAAAAAACCUGUACCUUUUUGGUUUGAUUUUUGGAUAAAUUUUUAUGGAUGCACACAUAUCCCCAAUAAUUACAUUUUUUAAAAACCGGAUAAAGAAUAGUAUUGCCCAUAAAUUUGUUCCUAAAAGCAUCAAAAAGUUAAAGAUAAUCGAAAAGCUUUGUAUAACUUUCCUCGCGAUGCGUUGUUCUGGCAUUGGCAUUGAAAUUAGUGGAAAUUUCAAUUGUUUUGAUACAUACAAAAUCGUAUACUGAUAUAUCUGCUCUCAUGCACUAAGGCUGAAAAACAUUUGCAUCGAUUGCAUUCACAGAAAAACUUUCAGAGGAAUAUUUGGCGGCAAAUAUUUCUUGGGGAUGUUUUGCGGGGAUAUUUUGCCCAAAAAAAUUUGGGGAUUAUUUGUCCGGGAUUUUUUGCUACCAAAAAAAGUUAAGUUUUCCAUUUUAGAGGGGGUGAGCGAGUACAAAUUUUCAAAAAUCGUUUUUUGUUUUAGCGCCAUCUAUCCAUAAUUCGAAUAAAUGUCUCGAAUAAAAGUUACUUAUUUUUACGUAAAUAAUCCAAAUCUGCAGUAAAAAUUAGGAAUUCCUCUUUAAGAUUUUAAAGUAACCCGCCACCACACGUCCAUGGGGGUCGUGUUUGGUGUCAUUCGAUAAAUUUUUGAAAAAUAUUGAACACGUGUUUUUCAGUUUUUCGAUCUGAUGUUCAUUUCGCGAAUUAUCGCGGGAGUUCUUUAAGAUUUUAAAGUUACACCACCCCACCUCCGUGGGGGGUCGUGUUUGGUAUCAUUCGAUAGAUUUUUGAAAAAUAUUAAACAUAUUUUUCAGUUUUUUUAACUGAUGUUCAUUUCGCGAAAUAUUCGCUUUUUUGUGAAACUUUGUGAUACCCAUUUCCCUACGCUCCGCUCAAAUCGUCAGAUAUUUGAAAUAUACACUGCUCUUCAUGUACUCAACUUACCUUGUCUUGUUCUGAUGUUGCGAGUUUUUCUAAGGAUAGAUUUUUUUACGGACUGCCCCCAACGCACGCCCCUGUAUUGAGAGUCCUUAUAUGUUAGGGGUACAAUUACAGGGUAAGAGGUUUUCUGACACGCUCGAGGAACGCGCAAAAUCCUCGCUUGGGCUCCCCUACCGUUAUAUUAUUCAACAUUUUAUAUCUUGUUUGUUAAAUUUUUGUUAUACAAAAUCGCUUCCAAAUAAUCAUUCGAAAUGAUUUUCUGUUUUCGUUGCUGUAAACUGAUCUUAAAGGCACUUUUUAUUGUUUUGGUAGGCAAUUGUUAGUUUUAUUAUUGUUUUUAUCUACUUUUAUGGUAUUUUAUUUACCACGUUUUAUAUACUUCGGCUGUUCUUUGUCUGCCUCAUUAUCACUUUGUCCGGGAAAAUCUUUUAAUCGGUUUUAAACGUGCUUCCCGACUAGCUAGAGAUCUGAAAUUUUCAGAAUAGUUCAGAACUCGAUGACAAUGCAAUAUUCAACAACUUUUACAUUUAUGCAUUGAGUUUUAUUUGGAAUUUUAAGCGAUUUUAAUUUUGUAUGGUAAAAUUAGUUCUCACUUUUCUGAAAAGAUGGCGCUACUAGUUUUUUCAAUAAAUGGCGUUACUUUAUAUGUCAUGUAAAAUAUUCUAUUCGUUUGGAAUAAUAAUAGCUAAUGAAUAUUAAAAAUUGUCUCGCUAGUUUGUUUACUUAACCCGCCGUUACACGCGUCUUCUAUUCGGACGUGGUUGCACGCGUAUGAGCGUCGCCCUCACCUACAAAGUUCGACUUAUUUCGAGGAAGAAUGAAUGUCAACAUGGAUAAAUAUAAAAUGGGUUGUACUCUCAUAUUAUAGAAAGUCUCGUAUGCCAACUUUUUUUAUUAAUUUAACAAAACAAAAGUAAAAAUAAUAUACAUAGAUCAAAAGCAAGUUUUCUUAAUUUUCAAUUUCAGCAAGCCACUGAAGAAAUUAACGUUCUUUACGCGAAUUCAUUUUACUAAAAAUACAAAUUAAAAUUAACAACUGUUCUGAAGCUAUUUCUUUGUGGUAUUUAUGUAAUUAACUAUUAAUAUUUUGUAUUUUGAUAACGACGUCCGAGGUGGAAUUCGAAACGUCAAUAAAAUCAAUUUUUCAAGUUAAAUUGUGGCUUAUUUCCCAAUUAGAAUAGGUAAAUUUAAAAAUGGGUUCUUAACCAGUGGCGCACCUAGAAUUUUCCUCUGGGGGGAGGGGGGUUAGCUUGGGCACCGAGAGUUUUUUGUAUUAUUUGUGAACGACAAGUUACAUUUUCCUACUUUCUUUUAUAUAUAUUUCUAUAUGCUCUGGGUGGGAUUUUAACCCCUAAACCCCCCGCUCGGUGUGCCACUGUUCCUAACCUAAUCCAAACAAUAAUAUUUUAAUUAAACCUACCUAAAUAUUAAAUAAAAACCUAAAAGUUUCUUUGAGAUAACAGAAACGUGAUUUCACCGUGAUUGCACGCGCAGUGAGGAAUUCCCUCACUUGAAGAGGGAUGUCUCUUCUUUCAACUAUCACACAGCACACUGACCGCCAGAAAUAUUCUAUAACUUUUUCAUACCCUCUCAUGAACCAUGUUAAAGGCAUUCCUGGGUGCUUAAGGUCAUCGUAUUAGUUUACACAAUUUCAUUGGUUAUAAACAAAUAUGGUGAGGGAUUCCCUCAUAGCGCGUGUAAUGGCGGGUUAAAAAAUUCUCAAAAAUAAAUGUGGUAAUUAUAUUGUGUCCUAUAAAUAAUAAAAAUGUGGUAUUAUAAAAACUUAUUUUUUAUAAAAGUGUAAUUAUUUCCAAUAGCUUUCUCAUUUUUUAACAUUUGUUGUAAAUGUCUAGGAUUUUUUGAACCCCUAGUUCAAUAUUUCCUCUCUUUUUAGCACUACAGAGGAAAUGGCAACUCUUCAUCCCAGUGGCGUAUCUAAACAUUUGGUUUGGGAGGUGAAAUUUACCUUAGGGGAACUUCCAAUGAAACACCAACCAAAAGACAUAAAAAAGAUAAACCCAAACUACAUAAAAGACAUAAAUAAUAACUUAUAUACAUUAAGUUUCUUUAAUUUUCCCAACUAGCGGGUUUAUUGGGUUGAAUUUUUCUGUCUGUGGUUUAAGUUUCAUGUCAGGUUUAUUUAUGUGUCAACAAUUUUUUUUCUUUAAUUUUGACCUUGUUAUGGGGAAAAUUUUCCCAUUUUCUCUCUCCGUAGAUCCGCCACUGCUUCAGGCUUCGACUAUAAAUCGUUACGUAUAUCAUGAAUUAAACGCCAUUUUAAUAAUUUUUUAUGACUACAUUCAACUUUGACUUCCUUUCAAAGGAAUUCGUGAUUCAGACGAAUUGUUCGACGUAAUUUAGGCUUGUUUUCGUACACACAGACUCACCUACUUUUUAUCUAAAAUUUAUUUAAGAUUUUAAAACCUUUUAGUGGUCGUUUAAAGAGGACAAAUUUGUACGUUAAACUGAUGAUGAUAUUAAAUGUUAUUUUUAAUCGUUUUAUGUAUGAUGAUUGCAUUUUUACUAUCUAUUCUGAUGAUGCUCUAGAAUGUAAGCAAUAAAUAAAUUAAUAUUUU
RNAcentral lists this unclassified non-coding RNA (9992 nucleotides) under Diabrotica virgifera virgifera (western corn rootworm). RNAcentral describes it as "protein TFG-like". The record is from RNAcentral. Lineage: Eukaryota; Metazoa; Arthropoda; Insecta; Coleoptera; Chrysomelidae.